AUGUAUGUUACUCAUGUGCGUAGAGAUGAAAGGUUUCAAAACUUGAAGAAUUUGUGUGAGCUUUCAGUUAUGCUUGUCGAGAGAAACAAGCAUGAACAAUACUAUAUUGUUUACAUGCUUCUUAAGUUGGUAUUAAUUUUGCCAGUAGCUACUACUAGUGUUGAAAGGGUGUUCUCUUUAAUGAACUAUGUGAAGAAUAAGCUAAGGAGCAAAAUGGGUGAUGAUUACUUGAACAAUUGUUUGGUUACAUUUGUUGAGAGACAAUUCUUCAAUCAAGUAAAGGAUGAGGAUGUCAUCAAUCUCUUCCAAAAAGGCGAUCGCAAAGUUAUAUUGUAA
RNAcentral lists this ribosomal RNA (336 nucleotides) under Triticum aestivum (bread wheat). RNAcentral describes it as "partial small subunit ribosomal RNA". Lineage: Eukaryota; Viridiplantae; Streptophyta; Magnoliopsida; Poales; Poaceae. The record is from RNAcentral.